RNAcentral lists this ribosomal RNA (465 nucleotides) under uncultured bacterium. RNAcentral's name for it is "partial 16S ribosomal RNA". It matches the Rfam family "Bacterial small subunit ribosomal RNA", at positions 338 to 795 of the family's 1533-position model. The record is from RNAcentral.
CCUACGGGUGGCUGCAGUGGGGAAUUUUGGACAAUGGGCGCAAGCCUGAUCCAGCUAUUCCGCGUGUGGGAAGACGGCCUUCGGGUUGUAAACCACUUUUGUAGAGAACGAAAAGUCUGUUGAUAAUACCGAUAGAUGAUGACGGUACUCUAAGACUAAGCACCGGCGAACUACGUGCCAGCAGCCCCGGUAAUACGUAGGGUGGGAGCGUUGAUCGGAAUUAAUGGGCGUGAAGGGUGUGCAGGCGGUGUUGCAAAAUGGAUGGGAAAGCCCCGGGCUUAACCUGGGAAAGCCAUUCGUGACUGCAAGACUAGAGUGCGUCAGAGGGGUGUGGAAUUCCAAGUGUAGCAGUGAAAUGCGUAGAUAUUUGGAAGAACACCGAUGGCGAAGGCAGCCCCCUGGGACGCAACUGACGCUCAUACACGAAAGCGUGGGGAGCAAACAGGAUUAGAUACCCUUGUAGUC